CAGCCAUGGAGCAGAAAGAACAAACAUUGCUACUUAAGCAAGAGGGAAGACCCGACGAGGCCAUUAUGCUUACCUUGCUCGAGCGCAUCAACCCCGACCAUGGCACCACAUUCACAGUCUUGAGGUAGCCGUGCUGCAACUACAUCAACGCUAUCUUCUCUGACUAGAUAAGGCUUCGGUCUAUCCCAUUAUUUUCUUUUCUUCUUUGGUCGAUGGGCCAUGAUGCCAUUGUGUUGAUUCCCUAUGUGAUGCAGAAGCUAUGGUGUUUUGUUUUAAGUCUGUUGUAAAUUGUAAUUGAUAAUGAUUUGUGUAAAAUUAGUGUAGAACAUAUGUCUUGUUAUCUUAAA
Molecule: long non-coding RNA, 347 nt
Organism: Triticum dicoccoides
Lineage: Eukaryota; Viridiplantae; Streptophyta; Magnoliopsida; Poales; Poaceae
Exons: 2
Source: RefSeq, a predicted model, not a curated record